RNAcentral lists this ribosomal RNA (483 nucleotides) under uncultured bacterium. Its description in RNAcentral is "bacterial SSU rRNA". It matches the Rfam family "Bacterial small subunit ribosomal RNA", at positions 334 to 828 of the family's 1533-position model. The record is from RNAcentral.
GACUCCUACGGGAGGCAGCAGUGGGGAAUAUUGCACAAUGGGUGGAAGCCUGAUGCAGCAACGCCGUGUGCGGGAUGACGGCCUUCGGGUUGUAAACCGCUUUCGCUCAUGACGAAGCUUUGUGUGACGGUAGUGGGUAAAGAAGCACCGGCUAACUACGUGCCAGCAGCCGCGGUGAUACGUAGGGUGCGAGCGUUGUCCGGAUUUAUUGGGCGUAAAGGGCUCGUAGGUGGUUGAUCGCGUCGGAAGUGUAAUCUUGGGGCUUAACCCUGAGCGUGCUUUUGAUACGGGUUGACUUGAGGAAGGUAGGGGAGAAUGGAAUUCCUGGUGGAGCGGUGGAAUGCGCAGAUAUCAGGAGGAACACCGGUGGCGAAGGCGGUUCUCUGGGCCUUUCCUGACGCUGAGGAGCGAAAGCGUGGGGAGCGAACAGGCUUAGAUACCCUGGUAGUCCACGCUGUAAACGGUGGGUACUAGGUGUGGGGU